GAGGGUAUACCUCAGUGGCAAAGUGCAUGACUAGCAUGCACGAGGUCCUGGGUUCAAUCCCCAGUACCUCCA
RNAcentral lists this transfer RNA (72 nucleotides) under Camelus bactrianus (Bactrian camel). It matches the Rfam family "tRNA". Rfam says of the family: Transfer RNA (tRNA) molecules are approximately 80 nucleotides in length. Their secondary structure includes four short double-helical elements and three loops (D, anti-codon, and T loops). Lineage: Eukaryota; Metazoa; Chordata; Mammalia; Artiodactyla; Camelidae. RNAcentral also lists the same sequence under 2 other names. The record is from Rfam by way of RNAcentral.